Molecule: long non-coding RNA, 261 nt
Organism: Cygnus olor (mute swan)
Lineage: Eukaryota; Metazoa; Chordata; Aves; Anseriformes; Anatidae
Exons: 4
Source: RefSeq, a predicted model, not a curated record
UUCCCCAACCUGUUAAAGUCCUGCUGGAUGGCAGCACAGCCUUCCGGAGUGUCAGCCACUCCUCCCAGUUUAGUCUCAUCAGCAAACUUGCUGACAGCACACUCCAUUCCCUCAUCCAAGUCAUCGAUGAAUAUAUUGAACAACACUGCUCCCAGUACUGACCCUUGAGGGACUCCACUAGAUACAGGACUCCAACUCAACUCCAUUCCAUUGACCACAACCCUCUGGCUUCUUCCCUUCAGCCAGUUUACAGUCCACCUC